RNAcentral lists this ribosomal RNA (556 nucleotides) under uncultured archaeon. RNAcentral describes it as "bacterial SSU rRNA". It matches the Rfam family "Archaeal small subunit ribosomal RNA", at positions 69 to 614 of the family's 1478-position model. The record is from RNAcentral.
UGGAGCACCUGGCCGUACGGCUCAGUAACACCCCUUUAAACUGCCCUUAGGACAGGGAUAACCAUGGGAAACUAUCCCUAAUCCCAAAUAGGAAACUUGGCCUGGAACGGUAUUUUUCCAAAAACCGGCUCGCCGUGAGAUACGGGCCUAAGGAUGGGGCUGCGGCCGAUUAUGCUUGAUGGCGGUGUAAUGGACCACCAUGGCGACGAUCGGUAUGGGCGAUGGAAGUUGGAGCCCAGAGUCGGCCACUGAGACAAGGGGCCGAGCCUUACGAGGUUUAGCGGUCGCGAAACCUCGCCAAUGCACGAAAGUGUGAGUGGGCUACUCCAAGUGACUUUCUUACGGAAGUCUGUCGCACAGUCUUACCAGCUGUGAAAGGAAGGAGAGGGCAAGGCUGGUGCCAGCCGCCGCGGAAAAACCAGCUCUUCGAGUGGUCGGGACAAAUAUUGGGUCUAAAGCGCUCGUAGCCGGGCAAGUAGGUUCCUGGUUAAAUCCGACGUCUUAAGCGUCGUCAUGCUGGGAAUACCGCUAGCCAAGGAAGCGGGAGAGGACAAGA